RNAcentral lists this ribosomal RNA (357 nucleotides) under uncultured Fusarium. RNAcentral's name for it is "eukaryotic LSU rRNA". The stretch from base 1 to 154 matches the Rfam family "5.8S ribosomal RNA". The record is from RNAcentral. Lineage: Eukaryota; Fungi; Ascomycota; Sordariomycetes; Hypocreales; Nectriaceae.
AACUUUCAACAACGGAUCUCUUGGUUCUGGCAUCGAUGAAGAACGCAGCAAAAUGCGAUAAGUAAUGUGAAUUGCAGAAUUCAGUGAAUCAUCGAAUCUUUGAACGCACAUUGCGCCCGCCAGUAUUCUGGCGGGCAUGCCUGUUCGAGCGUCAUUUCAACCCUCAAGCACAGCUUGGUGUUGGGACUCGCGUUAAUUCGCGUUCCCCAAAUUGAUUGGCGGUCACGUCGAGCUUCCAUAGCGUAGUAGUAAAACCCUCGUUACUGGUAAUCGUCGCGGCCACGCCGUUAAACCCCAACUUCUGAAUGUUGACCUCGGAUCAGGUAGGAAUACCCGCUGAACUUAAGCAUAUCAAUA